RNAcentral lists this long non-coding RNA (746 nucleotides) under Hordeum vulgare. Its description in RNAcentral is "long non-coding RNA (HVUL_LNC020696)". The record is from RNAcentral. Lineage: Eukaryota; Viridiplantae; Streptophyta; Magnoliopsida; Poales; Poaceae.
GGACGUGUGGGAGUGGCACGACUACGACUUGUCGUCGCGGGCAAGGGCGGGGCCGUCGUCCUGGCCGUUCGUGAGGUCGACGCACCUGGCUGCACUGUACUCAUUGACCGGUUUGAGGCCACCGUCGCUCCCGUUGGCGUUCUUGAGGUCGUGGACGGAGCGGCUCUUGUUGACAUUCUUGACGUCCCGGAAGGAGCCACCAUCACUGGUGUCGCUGAAGUUCUUGAGGUCGCGUACCGAUUUGUCGUUGUUGACGUUCUUGAGGUCGGAUGCGGAUUUGCCGUUGUUGAAGUUCUUGAGGUCGCGUGGGGAUUGGCCGUUGUUGAAGUUCUUGAGGCAGCGGGUUGAGCCGGCGUUGCUGAUAUUCUUGCGCCCGCAGGCGAAACUGCCAUUGCUGGCGUUCUUGAUGCGGCAGAGGGAGACACCCUUGCUGACGAUCUUGAUGCCGCAGACGUAGCCGCCCUUGGUGAUGUUGUUGAGGCCACGAGCGGAGCCACCGUUGUUGGCGUUCUUGAGGUAGCCGCCGGCGUUGGUGUUCUUGAGGUAGCCGCCGGCGUUGGUGUUCUUGAGGUAGCCGCCGGCGUUGGUGUUCUUGAGGUAGCUGCCGGCGUUGGUGUUCUUGGGGUUGUGGGUGGACCCGCCGGUGACCUCGCCUUCUUCUGACCGAGAAACCUUCCUGGCAACAUGACAGGAUAUUGAUCUUCUUCUUCGAGAUGAGGUGAGGUGAGCUGAGUGGGGUGGAUAUG